AGCGAACGCUGGCGGCAGGCCUAACACAUGCAAGUCGAACGAACCUUUCGGGGUUAGUGGCGGACGGGUGAGUAACACGUGGGAACGUGCCUUUAGGUUCGGAAUAACUCAGGGAAACUUGUGCUAAUACCGAAUGUGCCCUUCGGGGGAAAGAUUUAUCGCCGUUAGAGCGGCCCGCGUCUGAUUAGCUAGUUGGUUGAGGUAAUGGCUCACCAAGGCGACGAUCAGUAGCUGGUCUGAGAGGAUGAUCAGCCACAUUGGGACUGAGACACGGCCCAAACUCCUACGGGAGGCAGCAGUGGGGAAUCUUGCGCAAUGGGCGAAAGCAUGACGCAGCCAUGCCGCGUGAAUGAUGAAGGUCUUAGGAUAGUAAAAUUCUUUCACCGGGGACGAUAAUGACGGUACCCGGAGAAGAAGCCCCGGCUAACUUCGUG
This 434-nucleotide ribosomal RNA is filed under the name uncultured bacterium. RNAcentral describes it as "partial 16S ribosomal RNA". It matches the Rfam family "Bacterial small subunit ribosomal RNA", at positions 29 to 507 of the family's 1533-position model. The record is from RNAcentral.